UAAUACGGAGGAUCCAAGCGUUAUCCGGAUUUAUUGGGUUUAAAGGGUGCGUAGGCGGCGUGCUAAGUCAGGGGUGAAAGACGGUGGCUCAACCAUCGCAGUGCCUUUGAUACUGGUGCGCUUGAAUAUACAUGAGGUAGGCGGAAUGAGACAAGUAGCGGUGAAAUGCAUAGAUAUGUCUCAGAACACCGAUUGCGAAGGCAGCUUACUAAGGUAUUAUUGACGCUGAGGCACGAAAGCGUGGGGAUCAAACAGG
RNAcentral lists this ribosomal RNA (256 nucleotides) under uncultured archaeon. RNAcentral describes it as "partial 16S ribosomal RNA". It matches the Rfam family "Bacterial small subunit ribosomal RNA", at positions 521 to 776 of the family's 1533-position model. The record is from RNAcentral.